This 1159-nucleotide ribosomal RNA is filed under the name Salmonella enterica subsp. enterica serovar Singapore. RNAcentral describes it as "partial 23S ribosomal RNA". It matches the Rfam family "Bacterial large subunit ribosomal RNA", at positions 1 to 1190 of the family's 2925-position model. The record is from RNAcentral. Lineage: Bacteria; Pseudomonadati; Pseudomonadota; Gammaproteobacteria; Enterobacterales; Enterobacteriaceae.
GGGUUGUGAGGUUAAGCGACUAAGCGUACACGGUGGAUGCCCUGGCAGUCAGAGGCGAUGAAGGGCGUGCUAAUCUGCGAUAAGCGCCGGUAAGGUGAUAUGAACCGUUAUAACCGGCGAUACCCGAAUGGGGAAACCCAGUGUGAUUCGUCACACUAUCAUUAACUGAAUCCAUAGGUUAAUGAGGCGAACCGGGGGAACUGAAACAUCUAAGUACCCCGAGGAAAAGAAAUCAACCGAGAUUCCCCCAGUAGCGGCGAGCGAACGGGGAGGAGCCCAGAGCCUGAAUCAGCAUGUGUGUUAGUGGAAGCGUCUGGAAAGGCGCGCGAUACAGGGUGACAGCCCCGUACACAAAAGCGCAUGUGCUGUGAGCUCGAUGAGUAGGGCGGGACACGUGGUAUCCUGUCUGAAUAUGGGGGGACCAUCCUCCAAGGCUAAAUACUCCUGACUGACCGAUAGUGAACCAGUACCGUGAGGGAAAGGCGAAAAGAACCCCGGCGAGGGGAGUGAAAAAGAACCUGAAACCGUGUACGUACAAGCAGUGGGAGCACAGGUUUACCUGUGUGACUGCGUACCUUUUGUAUAAUGGGUCAGCGACUUAUAUUCUGUAGCAAGGUUAACCGUAUAGGGGAGCCGUAGGGAAACCGAGUCUUAACCGGGCGUUAAGUUGCAGGGUAUAGACCCGAAACCCGGUGAUCUAGCCAUGGGCAGGUUGAAGGUUGGGUAACACUAACUGGAGGACCGAACCGACUAAUGUUGAAAAAUUAGCGGAUGACCUGUGGCUGGGGGUGAAAGGCCAAUCAAACCGGGAGAUAGCUGGUUCUCCCCGAAAGCUAUUUAGGUAGCGCCUCGUGAAUUCAUCUCCGGGGGUAGAGCACUGUUUCGGCUAGGGGGCCAUCCCGGCUUACCAACCCGAUGCAAACUGCGAAUACCGGAGAAUGUUAUCACGGGAGACACACGGCGGGUGCUAACGUCCGUCGUGAAGAGGGAAACAACCCAGACCGCCAGCUAAGGUCCCAAAGUCAUGGUUAAGUGGGAAACGAUGUGGGAAGGCCCAGACAGCCAGGAUGUUGGCUUAGAAGCAGCCAUCAUUUAAAGAAAGCGUAAUAGCUCACUGGUCGAGUCGGCCUGCGCGGAAGAUGUAACGGGGCUAAACCAU